GUUUCUGUGGGUUAAUGUUUAACACACUGGCAUCCUAAGCCAGGGAUUUGGGUUCAAGUCCUAUCUGGGAUG
This 72-nucleotide transfer RNA is filed under the name Monodelphis domestica (gray short-tailed opossum). It matches the Rfam family "tRNA". Rfam says of the family: Transfer RNA (tRNA) molecules are approximately 80 nucleotides in length. Their secondary structure includes four short double-helical elements and three loops (D, anti-codon, and T loops). Further hydrogen bonds mediate the characteristic L-shaped molecular structure. tRNAs have two regions of fundamental functional importance: the anti-codon, which is responsible for specific mRNA codon recognition, and the 3' end, to which the tRNAs corresponding amino acid is attached (by aminoacyl-tRNA synthetases). tRNAs cope with the degeneracy of the genetic code in two manners: having more than one tRNA (with a specific anti-codon) for a particular amino acid; and 'wobble' base-pairing, i.e. permitting non-standard base-pairing at the 3rd anti-codon position. The record is from Rfam by way of RNAcentral. Lineage: Eukaryota; Metazoa; Chordata; Mammalia; Didelphimorphia; Didelphidae.